UCACAUCUAAGAGCAAGAAAAUAGCCAACUUAUUGCAAUUAUGUAUGGCUGACAAUGAUUCAUUGCUUAACAUGGAAGUGAAGUAUGACAGCGAAUAUGUGUUAUUGUUGAAGACCUUUUGUGAUGCUCGGAAUCCCAAAAGACAGUAUUGGAAUUGUCCACUAUAUGGUAUAAUUUGUUUGUUCAAAGUUCAAUUUAAACUCAUCUUUUGUGUCUAGUUUUUAUCCUUCUUACUUUUAUAUUUUAAUGAAUUUAAUUACUAUUGCAGGGGCCUCAGGCUUGCAUAUUUUUCCUUUAGAGAGAUCUAGAUAUUUGUCUCUGAUCGCAUUUCUUCAUCUCUAAACUUGUUGCUCAAAUUAAUCAAUUACAACUGUAGUUGGAAUCUCGUAAUAAUGAGGGCGAUCCAAUUGAUUACGAGCAGGCUGCAACCGUUGAGGACGGUGAUGUUCAACCAAAAGAAUGGUAUAAUGUAAAUGUGAAUGUCCAUUCGGAUAAGAAAAAUAGAGAAGGGAGCGCAAAAGUCGAGGUUCUAGAGGAAGAGGGGCGUAGAAGUCCAACUUAGAAGGGUACAUUUGAUUUUACUAUUUUUUUUAAGUUAUGAACUUAUAUUAAUUCAUCUAUUUUUUUAUAAAAUAUUAGUUCAUCUAUGUUUAUUUUAUUUUUGAUACGCAUAAUUUUUGUUCGCUUAUUUUUUCUAUCUUGAUAUUUAUCCGGGUCAUAAAAAGCUAUUGAUCCUCAUACAUGAUUUGAUUGAUAAUAAAAG
RNAcentral lists this long non-coding RNA (763 nucleotides) under Capsicum annuum. RNAcentral's name for it is "long non-coding RNA (CANN_LNC007150)". The record is from RNAcentral. Lineage: Eukaryota; Viridiplantae; Streptophyta; Magnoliopsida; Solanales; Solanaceae.